Molecule: ribosomal RNA, 178 nt
Filed under: Fusarium oxysporum
Lineage: Eukaryota; Fungi; Ascomycota; Sordariomycetes; Hypocreales; Nectriaceae
Description: 5.8S ribosomal RNA
Rfam family: 5.8S ribosomal RNA (bases 2-155)
About the family: 5.8S ribosomal RNA (5.8S rRNA) is a component of the large subunit of the eukaryotic ribosome.
Source: RNAcentral
AAACUUUCAACAACGGAUCUCUUGGUUCUGGCAUCGAUGAAGAACGCAGCAAAAUGCGAUAAGUAAUGUGAAUUGCAGAAUUCAGUGAAUCAUCGAAUCUUUGAACGCACAUUGCGCCCGCCAGUAUUCUGGCGGGCAUGCCUGUUCGAGCGUCAUUUCAACCCUCAAGCACAGCUUG